Molecule: unclassified non-coding RNA, 357 nt
Filed under: soil metagenome
Description: partial contains 5.8S ribosomal RNA, internal transcribed spacer 2, and large subunit ribosomal RNA
Rfam family: 5.8S ribosomal RNA (bases 1-120)
Source: RNAcentral
GAUGAAGAACGCAGCGAAAUGCGUUAAGUAAUGUGAAUUGCAGAAUUCAGUGAAUCAUCGAAUCUUUGAACGCACAUUGCGCCCGCUGGUAUUCCGGCGGGCAUGCCUGUUCGAGCGUCAUUUCAACCCUCAAGCUCUCCGGAGUUUGGUGUUGGGGCGCCUGGGGCUUUUCGACCUCAGGGCCCUCAAGUCCAUCGGCGGGACCGCCAGGACACUGAGCGCAGUAGUAUUAUUUCGCUCGGUAGGAUCUUCCACGGCGGGUCGAUCUGGCCGCUAAACCCCCCAAUUCUCACCAAAGGUUGACCUCGGAUCAGGUAGGAAUACCCGCUGAACUUAAGCAUAUCAAUAAGCGGAGGA